Molecule: non-coding RNA, 843 nt
Filed under: Salarias fasciatus (jewelled blenny)
Lineage: Eukaryota; Metazoa; Chordata; Actinopteri; Blenniiformes; Blenniidae
Description: partial small subunit ribosomal RNA
Rfam family: Bacterial small subunit ribosomal RNA
Source: RNAcentral
CAAAGGCUUGGUCCUGACUUUACUGUCAACUCUGGCUAGAUUUACACAUGCAAGUCUCCGCACCCCCGUGAGAAUGCCCUACAGUUUCCCUUCCUGAAACAAGGAGCAGGUAUCAGGCACACUACAGUAGCCCACUACACCUUGCUUAGCCACACCCCCAAGGGAUCUCAGCAGUGAUAAAUAUUAAGCAAUAAGUGAAAACUUGACUUAGUUAUAAGCCUACAGGGCCGGUUAAACUCGUGCCAGCCACCGCGGUUAUACGAGAGGCCCAAGCUGACAGACCUCGGCGUAAAGUGUGGUUAAAUAGUGUACCUACUAAGGUCGAAUGCAGUCAAAACUGUUAUACGUAAUCGAAUGCUAGAAGCCCCGUCACGAAAGUAACCUUAUAAUAUUGAACCCACGAAAGCUAGGACACAAACUGGGAUUAGAUACCCCACUAUGCCUAGCACUAAACCUAGAUGAACAUAUUACGUAAUCAUCCGCCUGGGAACUACGAGCACUAGCUCAAAACCCAAAGGACUUGGCGGUGCUUAACAUCCCCCUAGAGGAGCCUGUUCUAGAACCGAUAACCCUCGUUAAACCUCACUUUUUCUUGCCCGCCACCGCCUAUAUACCGCCGUCGUCAGCUUACCCUAUGAAGGACAAACAGUAAGCAGAAUCAGUAAUACUCAAAACGUCAGGUCGAGGUGUAGCAAAUGAAAGAGGAAGAAAUGGGCUACAUUUCCUACGCCGCAGGAAAUACGAAAAGUUUACUGAAAGCUAAACUAGAAGGAGGAUUUAGUAGUAAGGGAGAAAUAGAGUGUCUCCCUGAAAUUGGCCCUUAAGCGCGCACACACCGCCCGU